CUUUUUUGAAUUAUUGUUACUCUGAAGAUGCACUUUAAUGAUUUUAACUGCGCUCAAAACGAAUAGAACUAUUAGUUUUAUAUAGUAUAGAAAAUGAAUGUGACUACGACAUCCAUAAAUUGUUGCAUUUAAUGGGAUAUGAGUUCUUGACCUCUCUGUCACCACUAUGCACUAAACCUUUGUCCUUAAAAUCAUUCAAUGCUUUUAGUGUCAAUUUUAGUUUUGCAAAUGUGUGUAUCAUUUUCAGUAGAAGACACAUUACAGUUCCUAUUUGUAUUCCACCCUGUGAUUUAUUUUACACAUGUCUUUACUAGGGUAGAUUGUGUUUAGGAUGACAAUGUAUGAAAGCUAAAGAUUACUGUUGGACACGUUAGCUUCUUGGGGAGGUGAUUAAGAAACCAGACACUUCAAGGUGCUUCUCCCUCCAUCUGCCUCUCUGCACCAGCAGCAUUACGUCAAUGCGUCCGAUGUAAAAACGACGAUUUGUUUAAACUAAAGGCCAUGUGGACACUUCCUGCCUGCAUCCUCUGUUUACUGUCAACAAGCUGAGAAAGGUCACUUCUUAGGUUAGCUGCAGUCUUCAAGCAGGUCAUCAACAAUACUCAGGUGACACUGGCCUUCACUGUCAACAUGUGACUUCAUUGUUUUUAUGUAUUCAGGCUUUACUUUUAAGACGUAAAUGCAUAAUUGCAUGUUUAAUCUAAAUUUCUUUUUGUGCGUAAGGGGCAAUAAAAAGUCUCCUAUGGGUAAUAUAACAGUGAGGUUUUUUUAAAGAUGUCAACUUAUUUUAUUCAAAUACAUUUAGAGAUUUGGAUGUCUAAAUGACCAAACAGGCAAAAAUAACAGAAAUCCCUAGCGAGGUACUCAGAGUGCAAUCCAUUAAGAAUAAAAAAAUACGCAAAUUCACAAUGACAUUGUCUUUUUUUUUUUUUUUUUACGGAGUGUGUUGAAACCGAUUGUUAUUAAAGUGUUCCGGGUACAUGUUGACUUGAGCAGGGGUGUGUAAUUGUCCUGGGGACGUAAGUCUGAGUCAGUGGGGGUGGGGGGGUUUGUUGUUGAGAUUGUACAUUCUUGUGAGACCAAUAGGUUACUGACUCUGGGGCCUGUUCAGAGUCCAGCCACAGCAGGUGACCUGAUGUACUGUAGAUGGAUGCCUCACACCACGACUAGUUCUUCACUUCAAGAGGAAAGGAAUGGGACCCUUUGAUGAGCCGUUCAUUACAGUUCUCCAACGUAAUCGAUGGUGGCAUGUCGGUGUACAAGGAUCUUUUUGCAAAGAAGAAAAAAGAGCGACAACAGCUGCCUAUCACUAAGUUCUUCUCCCGAACAAACACACCUGCACCGCCGGCGUCAGAAGAAGAGAACACUGCAGAGCGUAGUCAGGAUGCAGCGGAACGGCCUACACGUCUCCCUGCAGCGCCACUGGUCCAUCCAGUUCUAAGCAUUGGCGCUCACGUACCAUGCUGUGAAUGGGUCGGGUCCAGUCUCCAUCCAGGACAUGGUCAAACCCUACAUCCCAACCCGUGCACUCUGCAUCUCACUGUAGCACUUUAAUUGUACUAAUAGCUCUACAGCAAGUUGUAAAUGGGCUAACUUGAUGAUAGUUUCUUGUUCCUCAGAGUUUGUAAUAGGCUUUGGAUAAAAGCGCCAGCUCAAUGACAUGUAAUAAUCAUCAUGCAAAAGGACUUUUGUGGACAUGUUGGAGAUUUUAAGUUACAACCUGGCCUUUGGCUCACCCCUCCCUAAAAAUGAUUAUAUAAGGGAUGCUAGGAGUUGGUAUCUUUUGGAUUUUAAUACUAGGAAAAGCUCUCAUCAAAACUCUUCCUGGUGUCAGUGCUUUUAGAUCCCAAAAUACCUUUAACAAUGUAAACACAUUAAUUCAUUCACCCUGAAAAGUCACUUGACAAUGUUUUUCAGAGGACAUUUCUCUACAGGAGAAACUUCAUCUAAUAAUUGUAAUAGGAGUUCUCGAUCUGGCCAGAUGUGCGAGCCAAAACACUGGCAGCUUUGCUGC
Molecule: long non-coding RNA, 2014 nt
Organism: Pungitius pungitius (ninespine stickleback)
Lineage: Eukaryota; Metazoa; Chordata; Actinopteri; Perciformes; Gasterosteidae
Exons: 3
Source: RefSeq, a predicted model, not a curated record